Panicum virgatum (switchgrass) is the source of this 369-nucleotide long non-coding RNA. RefSeq lists it as uncharacterized. The record is from RefSeq and is a predicted model, not a curated record. The transcript is spliced from 3 exons. NCBI's taxonomy places the organism in Eukaryota, Viridiplantae, Streptophyta, Magnoliopsida, Poales, Poaceae.
CAUCAAACUCAAGGUAGAUCCAAAAUCUGUUCAGAAGGUAUGAGGAGCAAGUCGAAAACAACCGACGCUUAACUCAACAAAAUGCAAUCUUGACUCAACAAAAUGCAGCCUUGACUCGUCAUGUGAAGCGGACUGAUCGUGUAGUUGAGCUCAUUGCUCAAAAGGUACAGAUAGAGAUACCACCUGACAUGCUUGAGGAAGAAGAAAAUGACAUAAGAGGGACUGGAUAUGGAUCCUCUCAUGCUUCAGCUAACUUGGACAGUAAUAGCGAUGGUCAUUGAGUUGCCUGGUAUGUUUGGUGAUGGCUGCUAUCUUUUGUUCAUGGUCCCUUGCAGCAUGGCAGAACCCCGCAAGCGCGAAGAGCGUCUU